GCGAGCGAACGGGGACCAGCCGAGCCGUGAGAAUGACCAGAAUGUGCUGGAAAGCACAGCCAUAGCGGGUGACAGCCCCGUAUGGGAAGUUUGAUCGGACGUAUUAAGUAGGGCGGGACACGUGAAAUCCUGUCUGAAGAUCGGGGGACCACCCUCGAAGGCUAAGUACUCCUUACUGACCGAUAGCGAACCAGUACCGUGAGGGAAAGGUGAAAAGCACCCCGACGAGGGGAGUGAAACAGUUUCUGAAACCGGACGCCUACAAGCAGUCGGAGCCGCCCAGUUCUUCGGAACACGGCGCGGUGACGGCGUACCUUUUGUAUAAUGGGUCAACGACUUGGUCUAUCUAGCAAGCUUAAGCCGUUAGGUGUAGGCGCAGCGAAAGCGAGUCUUAAAUGGGCGACUAAGUUAGAUGGAUCAGACCCGAAACCAGAUGAUCUAGGCAUGAGCAGAAUGAAGGUUGGGUAACACCAACUGGAGUUCGAACCCACACCUGUUAGAAAAGGUCGGAUGACUUGUG
This 520-nucleotide ribosomal RNA is filed under the name uncultured bacterium. RNAcentral's name for it is "bacterial LSU rRNA". It matches the Rfam family "Bacterial large subunit ribosomal RNA", at positions 249 to 813 of the family's 2925-position model. The record is from RNAcentral.